CCUACGGGUGGCAGCAGUGGGGAAUAUUGCACAAUGGGGGAAACCCUGAUGCAGCGACGCCGCGUGAGUGAAGAAGUAUUUAGGUAUGUAAAGCUCUAUCAGCAGGGAAGAAAAUGACGGUACAUGAUUAAGAAGCCCCGGCUAACUAAGUGCCAGCAUCAGCGGUAAUACGGAGGGGGCAAGCGUUAUCCGGAUUUACUGGGUGUAAAGGGGGCGUAGACGGCAGCACCAGUCUGGAGUGAAAUGCCCGGGCUUAACCCCGGAACUGCUUUGGAAACUGUGCAGCUAGAGUGCAGGAGAGGUAAGUGGAAUUCCUAGUGUAGCGGUGAAAUGCGUAGAUAUUAGGAGGAACACCAGUGACGAAGGCGGCUUACUGGACUGUAACUGACGUUGAGGCUCGAAAGCGUGGGGAGCAAACAGGAUUAGAUACCCUUGUAGUC
RNAcentral lists this ribosomal RNA (440 nucleotides) under uncultured bacterium. Its description in RNAcentral is "partial 16S ribosomal RNA". It matches the Rfam family "Bacterial small subunit ribosomal RNA", at positions 338 to 795 of the family's 1533-position model. The record is from RNAcentral.